This is a small RNA of 283 nucleotides. It matches the Rfam family "5' ureB small RNA".
CUUCAUCGAUCUGUUGCGGGCAGAUGAAAUGGAUGUGGCUGUCGAUGCCGCCGGCGGUGACGAUCAUUCCCUCGCCGGCAAUGAUCUCGGUACCGCCGCCGAUAGGGAUGGUCACGCCCGGCUGGAUAUCCGGAUUGCCGGCCUUGCCGAUGCCGGCGAUGCGGCCGCCCUUGAUGGCGAUGUCGGCCUUGACGAUUCCCCAGUGGUCGACGAUCAGCGCGUUGGUGAUUACCGUGUCGGCGACUUCGGCGGCGGGCUUCUGACCCUGCCCCAUGCCGUCACG